GUCAGAAACUCCAUGACGACAGAUAUGCAUAUGUAUCUUCAAAAUAAAUCACUAUUGACCUCUACUCUUUAACUUAACCAAUUGGCUUGCAAAUAUCUAGCUAACACCACCAUCAGUCCCAUGAUCUGAACAACAACGAUGCAGCAUUAUUUUGCCUCAUGUACGAGCCUUGCGGCAAGGAUUGAAAGGAUCUUGGUGUGUCUGGAUAUCUUUCUUUUUCUGUCUCUUUGGCACAUGCAGGAAUUCAUUUGCUAUACAUUCCAAUGCUCUAACGGUUAAGGGUCUGUUCCUAGAGCUCUGUCUCCUCGGAUUCAUAUCAGGCUGUUGUUCCAAAGAACCAACAUCACAAGGGAUUCUCAAAGGCUCCUUAACUACUUCCUGAGAAGCAUAUGUUAGACAUGGAUUUUUUGCCGUUAGGCCUUGCUCAUCUUCAGCUGCCAUUGCCACUGUUUUGCUAUUUUCAGAAUUCGAUGGUACCUGAGGUAUGUUGAAGGUGAAAGAUUCAGAUUUUUCAACUUUGACACAAGAAACACUCGUGUGUUGAUAGCUGUCGUUGAUAAUGCUUUUUCCAUUAUCCUCUUCCACACUUCUGUCUGCUGAAGAAGUUGAAUUUUCAUUCUGAUGAUGACUAACUGGACCACAAACAUUUUGGUUUGCAUCUCGAAAGCAAGAAGACCGAGAUAAACCUAAACAUCCUGAAGAAUUCUCAACAAUGCGACUUUUCUCUGAUUUGGCACAAGCAGUCAAUUUCCUCCGUUUAAUAGGAACGGCUGCAUGAUUAGAAUCACCAGAUCUUACUCUCCGAUUGAAUUGAUGUUUUAUGAUCCUCGUCAAUCGAUUGUUAUCAAGAUUAUCAUGUGCUUUUUUACUGGUAGCACCACUGUUAGAUACCCCUCUGCACCCAUCAGUUUUAUUGAUAUUCUUUUUGUCACAUACCAGCCUCUUAGCUUCCACCUUCCUCGACGAAUCAUCAAUUGAAGAGCCACCCUUACUUUCUCUCAGAAGACCAGUAGUCAUCGUAGAAGCAUCUUCUAAUUCAACUGGAAGAUAUUUCAAUUGUUUCACUUUCAGCUUCAAUAGUUUUCCUUCAGAAAGUCUAUUGGUAUCAAUCACUAUUAACUUUGUCGACUUCUGUUUAAUGGUUUUAGGCGCAUCCUUGCUAUGGUUUACCUUCCUACAACCAAAAUCUACCUCAACUUUAGGCACCGAAUUAACAGGCACAGAUUUCAAUUCCCUUAAAGCAGAUGACUUUCCACCAUGCACCAAACUGGUAUCAAUAACCAUGAAUUUGAUAUGAUCUUUACUGUAAGUAGAAGAUCGGGGCUUGAGGUAACAAUAGCGAUGAUCCUUAGACAGAUCAUCUUCAUUUGAUCCAUUUUCGGGAUCUUCCUCAUUGCAGCUACCAAAUUUGGCUUCUCCUUCUUCUUCUUUGAGCACGAGAAUAUUCGGUUCAGCAACUACUUUUCUCAAGACAUCACUAACAGAAUCAAAGUAAUGGUCACCUUUCACAAGUUUUCUCCUCGAAAACUUCUCAACACCGGGAAUAAGAAAAACCAGAUAAUCAUUGGAAGUAACAUAGCAUCGAUACUUUGGUUGCUCAGAGUGCCAACCUCUUGCCAGUAAGCGGGGCCAAACAGCCUCCCAGAAGAGAUCAUUACUUUUGGUUUUGCUCAGCCGAAAUCCUGUCAAAUAUUGAAUUAUCUCACUAGGUCCAAGAGAAGACAAAGCUUUGCAAGCUGGUACUGGCAACGCUUGAACGUCCUUCCCAGGUUCCAUGCCAAUCCUAGUAAGGUCUCCCAUCUCCUUACCAAUACCUACAGCUUCCACAAGUACACCAAGUCCAACAGUAGACUUCAAAGAAGAUGUGUAAUCUUCUAGAGAAGUUCUUCCCUCCAUAAACGACUUUGAAAUCUGUGUAUAAAUAUAAGUAAAGUGAGGACUGAAACAUAUGAUAUAUAUAACUGGAGUGAUUUAAAGAAAAAAGGUACUGGUAUGGACAUAAAACUUCAAAUAAUUAUGGUAUGUUGCAGUAAAUGAUAAUUCGCUCGGUUACUCCAUCGUAAUUACAUUGUAACUAUCAAAUGCACAAAGUAUGUAAAAUUAAAGAAAUAAGAUGUUCCAUAAACUAGCGAAGCUUUCAGUUUGUAACAUCGAAUUGCCUAGGAGAAACAAACUAAGCAUCAUUCG
Molecule: long non-coding RNA, 2187 nt
Filed under: Medicago truncatula (barrel medic)
Lineage: Eukaryota; Viridiplantae; Streptophyta; Magnoliopsida; Fabales; Fabaceae
Description: lncRNA gene44077
Source: RNAcentral